CGGGAGAGGGGAGAGGGGCAGUGUCGGCUGGACCCUGCGCCUGAGCCUGCGGCCGAGCAGGGAGCCCGGGAGCCCAGGAAGCGCAUCGGGCAGAGAACCGCUGGUCCUGGGGACACAGUGACGGCAACACCAGCACACACGGAGGCCCCCACCCCGGAGGCUGGAGAGAGGGAGCAGGUGCUGAAUGUGGGCAGCAGGCAGCCUGCUGCGGACUGGGGGAAGAAAUACCGCGCAGAAGGCAGAGCCGAGUUCAGUGGUGACAGGAAAGAAGGGGAGAACUGGUGUUGACUCCAGCUAACUCACUGAAGUUCCGUGGAAGCCAUCCUGGUCGCAGCAGAGGUUGGGGUCAAAGUGUCCUGGAUCAGGACUCAUCUGCACACUCGGUAGUUCGCUGAUCUCACACUAGCCAAGUAUUUUCCUGCCUGGAAAUGGACAGCACUCUUGAUCUGAGGAGAGAAGGUGGGGAGCCCCUGCCCAGGCCUCGCACAAAGGCUGCUACAUCUUCUCUGUUUCCAUGGGGGCCCAGAGCCUCGCUGGCCACACACCCCUGGAGCUGACAUCUUGAGCUACACAGAGUCAACAGGAUCGCCUUGAAUCACUUCCCCACCUCACUCUGUACACCGAAGUAGAUGCCUGAAUCAGAGAAGACGCAUUUCUAAUGCAAACCAGAGGAGCGCUCAAGGGGGACCGUGGCUGAGUUUUAAGUCUUCUCCGUGGAGACAAAGUUCGUCAUGACGUGGCACAGCCUCAGUGCUGCCAGAGGAAAGCAGGCAAGUUGGAAUCUGCAAUCGCUGAUAACGUCUAUUCAUUUAAAAACAGGUGAAGAGGGCCCAGGGAUUUAGCUCAGUGGUUUUGUUGCCUGCUGCACAAGCGCAAGGACCUGAGUUCAAUCCCCAGUACCAAAAAAAAGAAAAUAAAUAAAUAAAAACAGGUGAAAAGAAAAUGUGGCCUAUCAACAAGUGAAAGACUAAUGACAAAUCAAAGAUUUUAUACAUUAAUCCUUAAAACUACUAAAAAAAUCAACAGAAAUGGACAAUAGUUAAGAGCAUAGUUUCAAUAAAUAAAUAAUAAAUGUUUAUGGCAAAUAGGCCAUAAGCGUGUAUACAAGG
RNAcentral lists this long non-coding RNA (1109 nucleotides) under Heterocephalus glaber (naked mole-rat). RNAcentral describes it as "lncRNA (ENSHGLG00000036640.1)". Lineage: Eukaryota; Metazoa; Chordata; Mammalia; Rodentia; Bathyergidae. The record is from RNAcentral.